Long non-coding RNA from Macrobrachium nipponense, 1759 nucleotides. RefSeq lists it as uncharacterized. The transcript has 3 exons. The record is from RefSeq and is a predicted model, not a curated record. NCBI's taxonomy places the organism in Eukaryota, Metazoa, Arthropoda, Malacostraca, Decapoda, Palaemonidae.
UUGUUAGCUAUAUUCUUUACAUGCAUUAAUGGAUUUACUUGUGUAUGCUUCCUUUACUCACACUAAAAAACCCUUGUAGUUUUCUUUUUAUUUUUGUCUCCCUCUGAAACGUCUCCGUGAACGUUUUUCUUUAGUAAUGCAGAAUCAGCUGUGUUAGGGGCCCCAUUCACGCUCAGUUGCAGCCUUCAGGUGAGAACGUUGUGGGCGUGGUUUAACUGUACCGUUGCGUGUAUGGCGGGAUUUUAUUCCUAAGGUUCGAACUCACAGGCGACCGGACAGCUCAAGACCUGUUCGAGCAGGCCUGAAUGUAUGUGAGGUGUCUUCGACGCGGCCUGCAAGCUUAUCCUCAGUCUAUGAUUAAAAGUUGCAGUAGAAGAACCCCUUUAGUAGGCAAGCACUAUGUCAGACAUAUGGGUGGAUAAAAGAUUUUGGAACGAAUUCAUUGAUGUAUUGGGUGGAUAAAAGAUUUUGGAACGAAUUUAUUGAUGUAUACAAGCAACAUCUAUGCAUAUGGAAUAUUAAGAGUAAAGACUAUUCAAACAGGAAUAUGAAAAAUGAAGCGUAUGAGACAUUGGUGAAGAAACUUCGAGAGAAGGAUGGGAGUGCUACCCGGGACACGGUAACCAAGAUGAUAAACAACAUGCGCAGUUCCUUCAGGAAAGAAAUGGUUCCUUCAGGAAAGAAAAGGUUGAAAAUUCAAAGAAGUCUGGGGCAGCUACAGAUGAGGUAUAUCGUCCAAGUCUGUGGUACUACGACCAGCUUUUAUUCCUUCGUGACCAAGAAACACCAAGAACAUCAUCAUCAGAUAUUGAAGAGCUGGGUAUCAGAAAGGAGACCCCUCUCUCGCCGAAGAAAGUUGUGCAACAUACAGCAAGCCUUGACCACAGAAACUGCAUUCUCUGCAUCGGGAUUUAUGGGGGAAUGGAAUAUGCGGAAUUUAGAAGCUAAUAUUCCGAAUGUACUCUCCACAACGCGGCGGGAUGUGAUCGAGAUGGACUGCCAGUCUACAUCCCAGCCUGGAGCUUCAAGACCCCUUCCAUUACCAACUGCAAAACGGAGCCGCCAACCGGGACCGUCAGUGAGCAACAAGGCUGAUGAGGUUCUGGGCAUCAUUGGGGACAAAUUACAGGGAGCACGUGAAGAAGAUGAAUAUGAUUUGUUUGGUAAAUUAAUUGCAAGUAAAUUGCGUAAAGUUGACGAUGAACAACGAAAAUUUGCUCAAAAAUUAAUAAAUGAUGUUCUAUAUGACGCAGAAUUUGAACAUCUUAGGUAUGAUAGUAGAGUCAUGAAUGCUAUAUAUAUAUAAUGUCCAAGAAUAAUCGACCAAACAUUUAUUGUUUGGAGAUUCAUUGUCCAUUGACAAAAACAAACAAUGGAGUUACAAUGCAUGCUACUAUUAUAGGGCUGUUGUUUUGUCUUGAGUGAUUAGAACAUUCCAUUUAAUACUUCUUACUUUGCCCUAGCAAAGAGUAUAUUGCAAUUCUUAUGGCUGAACAUUAUAUUAAUGUUUAAUACAAAUGUUGGCAUCAUUUAAUAAGAAUAAAAAUAGGAAGCAUAUAAUACUAAGCUUCUGCAAUUCCUAUUUUCUCAUGGGGUGCUUUGGGUAACCUAAAAACGUAAUGUAUGUGAGGAUACAAAGCUAAUAAUGAUAAGAAUUAAUAUACUAUAAUUAUAGAGUGUAUAAUUAUGCGCAGUAUUUUGUAAGAUUGUUUUCAGCUUCAUAUGUGACCUUUAUGUAUAUAAACAAUAAACAUCAUAC